RNAcentral lists this ribosomal RNA (809 nucleotides) under Kocuria rosea. Its description in RNAcentral is "bacterial SSU rRNA". It matches the Rfam family "Bacterial small subunit ribosomal RNA", at positions 23 to 841 of the family's 1533-position model. Lineage: Bacteria; Bacillati; Actinomycetota; Actinomycetes; Micrococcales; Micrococcaceae. The record is from RNAcentral.
CUCAGGACGAACGCUGGCGGCGUGCUUAACACAUGCAAGUCGAACGAUGAUGCCCAGCUUGCUGGGCGGAUUAGUGGCGAACGGGUGAGUAAUACGUGAGUAACCUGCCCUUGACUCUGGGAUAAGCCUGGGAAACUGGGUCUAAUACUGGAUACUACCUCUUGCCGCAUGGUGGGUGGUGGAAAGGGUUUUACUGGUUUUGGAUGGGCUCACGGCCUAUCAGCUUGUUGGUGGGGUAAUGGCUCACCAAGGCGACGACGGGUAGCCGGCCUGAGAGGGUGACCGGCCACACUGGGACUGAGACACGGCCCAGACUCCUACGGGAGGCAGCAGUGGGGAAUAUUGCACAAUGGGCGGAAGCCUGAUGCAGCGACGCCGCGUGAGGGAUGACGGCCUUCGGGUUGUAAACCUCUUUCAGUAGGGAAGAAGCGAGAGUGACGGUACCUGCAGAAGAAGCGCCGGCUAACUACGUGCCAGCAGCCGCGGUAAUACGUAGGGCGCAAGCGUUGUCCGGAAUUAUUGGGCGUAAAGAGCUCGUAGGCGGUUUGUCGCGUCUGCUGUGAAAGCCCGGGGCUCAACCCCGGGUCUGCAGUGGGUACGGGCAGACUAGAGUGCAGUAGGGGAGACUGGAAUUCCUGGUGUAGCGGUGAAAUGCGCAGAUAUCAGGAGGAACACCGAUGGCGAAGGCAGGUCUCUGGGCUGUUACUGACGCUGAGGAGCGAAAGCAUGGGGAGCGAACAGGAUUAGAUACCCUGGUAGUCCAUGCCGUAAACGUUGGGCACUAGGUGUGGGGGACAUUCCACGUUUUC